GAUGAACGCUGACAGAAUGCUUAACACAUGCAAGUCUACUUGAUCCUUCGGGUGAUGGUGGCGGACGGGUGAGUAACGCGUAAAGAACUUGCCCUGCAGUCUGGGACAACAUUUGGAAACGAAUGCUAAUACCGGAUAUUAUGUGAGUUUCGCAUGAAAUUCAUAUGAAAGCUAUAUGCGCUGCAGGAGAGCUUUGCGUCCUAUUAGCUAGUUGGUGAGGUAACGGCUCACCAAGGCGAUGAUAGGUAGCCGGCCUGAGAGGGUGAACGGCCACAAGGGGACUGAGACACGGCCCUUACUCCUACGGGAGGCAGCAGUGGGGAAUAUUGGACAAUGGACCAAAAGUCUGAUCCAGCAAUUCUGUGUGCACGAUGAAGUUUUUCGGAAUGUAAAGUGCUUUCAGUUGGGACGAAGUAAGUGACGGUACCAACAGAAGAAGCGACGGCUAAAUACGUGCCAGCAGCCGCGGUAAUACGUACGUCGCAAGCGUUAUCCGGAUUUAUUGGGCGUAAAGCGCGUCUAGGCGGUUUGGUAAGUCUGAUGUGAAAAUGCGGGGCUCAACUCCGUAUUGCGUUGGAAACUGUCAAACUAGAGUACUGGAGAGGUGGGCGGAACUACAAGUGUAGAGGUGAAAUUCGUAGAUAUUUGUAGGAAUACCGAUGGGGAAGCCAGCCCACUGGACAGAUACUGACGCUAAAGCGCGAAAGCGUGNGUAGCAAACAGG
RNAcentral lists this ribosomal RNA (724 nucleotides) under uncultured bacterium. Its description in RNAcentral is "bacterial SSU rRNA". It matches the Rfam family "Bacterial small subunit ribosomal RNA", at positions 28 to 776 of the family's 1533-position model. The record is from RNAcentral.